UGGCUGCUGAGGUGGGGGGCUGUGGUGAGUGUUGCCUCCUUUCUCUGGAAGAGUGGGGAGUGCUGCAACAGGGGCCUAGGAAGGUAGGCAUUAUGGGGCUUUGCUCCUUCUCAGCCUGGAUCCUCAGCGCUCCAAACACGCUUGUCAUCCAGAGUCAUGCUUCAGGAUCAGCUCAGCCAAACACAUUUGCCAAAAUGCUGCCCUCAUGGAGUUUGUAAAGGUAGCAGCUGAUGUACAGCCCAGCAAGUGAUUCAGAGAUCAGAAUGGGGCCAGAUAGCCUCAUGCUGACAGGUGGCAUCAGCGGUCCUGGGACCAUCUCUCCUCCACGUCUGAAGCCGAAGCAUUUGGUGGUGGGGGCAGGACCUCUGGCACACGUGGCCGGCACCUCAGCCAAGCUUGCCAUGUGGGUAGAGAGGGAGGGGGAAGGGGACAGAGCUGCCUGGGGUCAACCUGGCAGAUGUCCUCAGGUCUGCAGUGAGAGUUGGGGUCUUUGCUCAGAGAGGACUGAGUUUAGAGAGGAAGUGGAGGCCAAGCAGACUCUGCCACGUGUCCAGCAGCCCUGAGAAAGGAGCCAGAGCCCGAGAGUGUGAGUUUGAGGCAAGGCAACUUUUCCUUGACCGGUUCUUACUUUUCCAGAUGAUGCUGUGAGUUCAGGUGAAAGAUGCUAAGCUGCUUCCUGCCAUGGCUCUGCCUGCCUCCCUAGGCCUCUGCGGCUCCUAAGACACAUUGCUCUUCGGGGGGCUAUCCCUCCCACACCUAGACCCCCUCAUCCCAGAUCUACCUUGGCUUCUGGACGUUUCCUCCCAAGACCUCAGUAUCCCUAAUGUUGUCCUAGAUAAUUCUAUCUCAUUUUCCUUGGGCCCGGAAAGAGCUGCUCAAGACAUUGUUCUGCCCUCCCGGAUGCAGCCACUGUCUCCCUGCCCAGGAGUUAGCUCUCAGCAGCACAGGUCUGCUGCCUUCCCCAGCGUGCGUGUGGAGACACAGGGGUGUUUCUGCUUAUCGCAAUGACAGGAGGCUGCUGCGGACAUUCAGCGGACACGGGGCUGGGGUACUAAGUGCCUGGAGUGGAUGGGACAGACUCUGAAGAAUUGCCCCACCUGAAAUGCUGAUAGGGCCCACCUGCAUUGAGAAGCUCUGGGAUAAGGGAAGCUAGGUGCCCCCCACUCGGCCAGCAGCCCAGCUUGGGCUGGCCCACGCCCUGAGGGGCUGCACCAGCGCUCCUGCUCUGUUUCCAGUGCCGACCAGUGGAGUGAGGCCGCUGCCCUGGCCCCAGCCAGUGGCCCAG
Molecule: long non-coding RNA, 1285 nt
Organism: Equus quagga
Lineage: Eukaryota; Metazoa; Chordata; Mammalia; Perissodactyla; Equidae
Exons: 3
Source: RefSeq, a predicted model, not a curated record